UAAAAAUCUAAACCAAACACCCUCUCGAUUCCUCUCUGCAAUACAAAAGAGAUUUCCAACUUUCAAAUCUCAUCCCCUCAACACCCCUCUAACUCUCUCUGGUCGAGCACCUGGUCGGCGACCUGUGACAAGCAACGACGGCCGGUCACCACUGAAGGUGACCCGGCGAUGAUCGACGAAAAAAGGUAGCGGCCGGCAGUGGCCGGCGAACGAUUUCCAGCGGCGCUGCCGCCGCUACGGCGGUGGUGGCGGUAGAAUUUUCCGGCGAACAAAAGGCACCCCCCUCCUAAAUCAGACGUCCCGAGUUCAUUUCCGGCGUUGGUUUUUCGAUCGGAGCCAUGAAGGUGGUAGUUCAACAGAGGCAGCCGUGGUUCGAGUGUGUUAUUUCUCCGGGGUGUCGGCUGCCGACCGGCGUCGGAGUCACCUGCGGCACCGGUAACGACACAGCAGGCAAGUUGGAGUCCGGCUCAAGUUAGAUUUAUUUUAGUGGCACUUCGGGUCAGAUUCGGUUCAACAGUUUCGGGUUCGGUCAUGAGCAGGUCAAAGAUGGUCAAAAGUGGUCAGCCAGGUCGGUUCGGUUGGCGGUUCAUGGAUUCGGGUCGACUCUGUCAAACCGAGUCAACUCAGUUAACCCGGGUCAACUCAAUUGACUCGGUCAACUAGGUCAACUCAGCGAGUCAACUCGGUCAGCCCGGUUGACUCGGACAAGUCAACUUUCGAUACGAGAUUUUUGGUAAAGUUUUAACGGUGAACACAUUGAUUUUGUAUUGUCUUUAUAUUAUUACUGUGAAAAUGAGCUCGAACCGAUUCGGAUUAGCAUUAGAUUACAUUUUAUCGUUCUUACAA
RNAcentral lists this long non-coding RNA (846 nucleotides) under Helianthus annuus (common sunflower). Lineage: Eukaryota; Viridiplantae; Streptophyta; Magnoliopsida; Asterales; Asteraceae. The record is from RNAcentral.